UCUCCGUAGGUGGACCUGCGGAGGGAUCAUUACUGAGUGAGGGCUCCGGCCCGACCUCCAACCCCAUGUGAACCGAAACCUGUUGCUUCGGGGGCGACCCUGCCGUUCGGCGCGGCGCCCCCGGAGGCUCAUCAAACACUGCAUCUUUGCGUCGGAGUAUCAAUCAAAUUGAACAAAACUUUCAACAACGGAUCUCUUGGUUCCAGCAUCGAUGAAGAACGCAGC
This 225-nucleotide unclassified non-coding RNA is filed under the name uncultured fungus. Its description in RNAcentral is "sequence contains ITS1, 5.8S rRNA gene". The stretch from base 177 to 225 matches the Rfam family "5.8S ribosomal RNA", at positions 1 to 49 of the family's 154-position model. Lineage: Eukaryota; Fungi. The record is from RNAcentral.